Molecule: ribosomal RNA, 168 nt
Filed under: Callionymus marquesensis (Marquesas ruddertail dragonet)
Lineage: Eukaryota; Metazoa; Chordata; Actinopteri; Syngnathiformes; Callionymidae
Description: partial small subunit ribosomal RNA
Source: RNAcentral
CACCGCGGUUAUACGAGAGACCCAAAUUGAUUAAUAAACGGCGUAAAGGGUGGUUAUAUUUAAUAUGUUACUAGGGCCGAACUCACCCCCGACUGUUAUACGUUACGGACUGAAGAAGCUCAAACACGAAAGUAGCCCUAAUAUAUUGAACCCACGAAAGCUAGAAAA